CCUACGGGCGGCAGCAGUGGGGAAUAUUGCGCAAUGGGCGAAAGCCUGACGCAGCGACGCCGCGUGAGGGAUGAAGGUCUUCGGAUCGGAAACCUCUGUCAGCAGGGAAGUACGGUCACUGUGCUAAUCAGCAGUGAAUUGACGGUACCUGCAAAGGAAGCACCGGCUAACUCCGUGCCAGCAGCCGCUGUAAUACGGAGGGUGCGAGCGUUAAUCGGAAUUACUGGGCGUAAAGCUCUCGUAGGCGGUAUGUCAAGUCAAGGGUGAAAUCCCCGCGCUCAACAUGUGAACUGCAUUUGAAACUGGCAGACUGGAGUGUGUGAGAGGGUAGUGGAAUUCCAGGUGUAGGAGUGAAAUGCGUAGAUAUCUGGAGGAACAUCAGUGGCGAAGGCGACUAUCUGGCACAUAACUGACGCUGAGGAGCGAAAGCGUGGGUAGCAAACAGGAUUAGAUACCCUGGUAGUC
This 465-nucleotide ribosomal RNA is filed under the name uncultured bacterium. Its description in RNAcentral is "partial 16S ribosomal RNA". It matches the Rfam family "Bacterial small subunit ribosomal RNA", at positions 338 to 795 of the family's 1533-position model. The record is from RNAcentral.